RNAcentral lists this ribosomal RNA (465 nucleotides) under uncultured bacterium. Its description in RNAcentral is "partial 16S ribosomal RNA". It matches the Rfam family "Bacterial small subunit ribosomal RNA", at positions 28 to 507 of the family's 1533-position model. The record is from RNAcentral.
GACGAACGCUGGCGGCGUGCUUAACACAUGCAAGUCGAACGGAAAGGCCCCUUUGGGGGUACUCGAGUGGCGAACGGGUGAGUAACACGUGAGUAACCUGCCCUUGACUUCGGGAUAACUUCAGGAAACUGGGGCUAAUACCGGAUAGGAAUCCUUGCCGCAUGGUGGGGGUUGGAAAGCUUCGGCGGUUUUGGAUGGACUCGCGGCUUAUCAGCUUGUUGGUGGGGGAGUGGCUUACCAAGGCUUUGACGGGUAGCCGGCCUGAGAGGGCGACCGGCCACAUUGGGACUGAGAUACGGCCCAGACUCCUACGGGAGGCAGCAGUGGGGAAUAUUGCACAAUGGGCGGAAGCCUGAUGCAGCAACGCCGCGUGCGGGAUGACGGCCUUCGGGUUGUAAACCGCUUUCAGCAGGGGCGAAGCUUGUGGUGACGGUACCUGCAGAAGAAGCACCGGCUAACUACGUG